AUUGAACGCUGGCGGAAUGCUUUACACAUGCAAGUCGAACGGCAGCACGGACUUCGGUCUGGUGGCGAGUGGCGAACGGGUGAGUAAUAUAUCGGAACGUAUCCAAUAAUGGGGGAUAACUAAUCGAAAGGUUGGCUAAUACCGCAUACGUCCUACGGGAGAAAGCUAGGGACCUUCGGGCCUGGCGUUAAUGGAGCGGCCGAUAUCUGAUUAGCUAGUUGGUGAGGUAAAAGCUCACCAAGGCGACGAUCAGUAGCUGGUCUGAGAGGACGACCAGCCACACUGGAACUGAGACACGGUCCAGACUCCUACGGGAGGCAGCAGUGGGGAAUUUUGGACAAUGGGCGCAAGCCUGAUCCAGCCAUUCCGCGUGAGUGAAGAAGGCCUUCGGGUUGUAAAGCUCUUUCGCAAGGGAAGAAAACUUAGCCUCUAACAUAGGUUGAGGUUGACGGUACCUUGAUAAGAAGCACCGGCUAACUACGUG
This 484-nucleotide ribosomal RNA is filed under the name uncultured bacterium. RNAcentral describes it as "bacterial SSU rRNA". It matches the Rfam family "Bacterial small subunit ribosomal RNA", at positions 30 to 507 of the family's 1533-position model. The record is from RNAcentral.